GCGGCGGACGGGUGAGUAACACGUGGGUAACCUGCCCAUAAGACUGGGAUAACUCCGGGAAACCGGGGCUAAUACCGGAUAACAUUUUGAACUGCAUGGUUCGAAAUUGAAAGGCGGCUUCGGCUGUCACUUAUGGAUGGACCCGCGUCGCAUUAGCUAGUUGGUGAGGUAACGGCUCACCAAGGCAACGAUGCGUAGCCGACCUGAGAGGGUGAUCGGCCACACUGGGACUGAGACACGGCCCAGACUCCUACGGGAGGCAGCAGUAGGGAAUCUUCCGCAAUGGACGAAAGUCUGACGGAGCAACGCCGCGUGAGUGAUGAAGGCUUUCGGGUCGUAAAACUCUGUUGUUAGGGAAGAACAAGUGCUAGUUGAAUAAGCUGGCACCUUGACGGUACCUAACCAGAAAGCCACGGCUAACUACGUGCCAGCAGCCGCGGUAAUACGUAGGUGGCAAGCGUUAUCCGGAAUUAUUGGGCGUAAAGCGCGCGCAGGUGGUUUCUUAAGUCUGAUGUGAAAGCCCACGGCUCAACCGUGGAGGGUCAUUGGAAACUUGGGAGACUUGAGUGCAGAGAGAAGUGG
RNAcentral lists this ribosomal RNA (582 nucleotides) under Bacillus thuringiensis. RNAcentral describes it as "bacterial SSU rRNA". It matches the Rfam family "Bacterial small subunit ribosomal RNA", at positions 95 to 661 of the family's 1533-position model. The record is from RNAcentral. Lineage: Bacteria; Bacillati; Bacillota; Bacilli; Caryophanales; Bacillaceae.